This 65-nucleotide transfer RNA is filed under the name Sepioteuthis lessoniana. Its description in RNAcentral is "tRNA-Asp". The record is from RNAcentral. Lineage: Eukaryota; Metazoa; Mollusca; Cephalopoda; Myopsida; Loliginidae.
AUAGAGAAAUUAGUUAAUUUAUAAUAUAAAAUUGUCAAUUUUAAGUUACUAUAUUUUAGUAUUUC